This 483-nucleotide ribosomal RNA is filed under the name uncultured bacterium. RNAcentral describes it as "partial 16S ribosomal RNA". It matches the Rfam family "Bacterial small subunit ribosomal RNA", at positions 30 to 507 of the family's 1533-position model. The record is from RNAcentral.
AUUGAACGCUGGCGGCAGGCCUAACACAUGCAAGUCGAGCGGAUGAAGGGAGCUUGCUCCUGGAUUCAGCGGCGGACGGGUGAGUAAUGCCUAGGAAUCUGCCUGGUAGUGGGGGAUAACGUCCGGAAACGGGCGCUAAUACCGCAUACGUCCUGAGGGAGAAAGUGGGGGAUCUUCGGACCUCACGCUAUCAGAUGAGCCUAGGUCGGAUUAGCUAGUUGGUGGGGUAAAGGCCUACCAAGGCGACGAUCCGUAACUGGUCUGAGAGGAUGAUCAGUCACACUGGAACUGGGACACGGUCCAGAUCCCUAGGGAAGGCAGCGGGGGGAAUAUUGGACAAUGGGCGAAAGCCUGAUCCAGCCAUGCCGCGUGUGUGAAGAAGGUCUUCGGAUUGUAAAGCACUUUAAGUUGGGAGGAAGGGCAGUAAGUUAAUACCUUGCUGUUUUGACGUUACCAACAGAAUAAGCACCGGCUAACUUCGUG